RNAcentral lists this ribosomal RNA (462 nucleotides) under uncultured bacterium. RNAcentral's name for it is "partial 16S ribosomal RNA". It matches the Rfam family "Bacterial small subunit ribosomal RNA", at positions 28 to 507 of the family's 1533-position model. The record is from RNAcentral.
GACGAACGCUGGCGGCGUGCUUAACACAUGCAAGUCGAACAGUGAAGCCCUUCGGGGUGGAUCAGUGGCGAACGGGUGAGUAACACGUGAGCAACCUGCCCCUGGCUCUGGGACAACCACUGGAAACGGUGGCUAAUACCGGAUACGACCCGCCUCGGCAUCGAGUGUGGGUGGAAAGUUUUUCGGCUGGGGAUGGGCUCGCGGCCUAUCAGCUUGUUGGUGAGGUGAAGGCUCACCAAGGCGACGACGGGUAGCCGGCCUGAGAGGGCGACCGGCCACACUGGGACUGAGACACGGCCCAGACUCCUACGGGAGGCAGCAGUGGGGAAUAUUGCACAAUGGGCGAAAGCCUGAUGCAGCGACGCCGCGUGAGGGAUGACGGCCUUCGGGUUGUAAACCUCUUUCAGCUCCGAAGAAGCGAAAGUGACGGUAGGAGCAGAAGAAGCACCGGCUAACUACGUG